Molecule: ribosomal RNA, 435 nt
Filed under: Basilia rybini
Lineage: Eukaryota; Metazoa; Arthropoda; Insecta; Diptera; Nycteribiidae
Description: partial 12S ribosomal RNA
Source: RNAcentral
UUAUUAUAAAUAAAAUUUUUAAAACUAUAGGAGUAUUAGUUAUGUUCUUGAAAUUAAAAAAAUUUGGCGGUAUUUUAGUCUAUUCAGAGGAACCUGUUUUUUAAUCGAUAAUCCACGAUGGACCUAACUUAAUUUUGUAAAGUUUAUAUAUCGUCGUUAUAAAUAUUUUAAAAGAAAAUUAAAUUUUUAAUAAUUAUAAAAAUAAAAUAUAUCAGAUCAAGGUUUAGCUAAUAAUUAAGUUAAAAUGGGUUACAAUAAAUUUAUUUAAAUGGAAUAAAUAAUGAAAUAUAUUUAUGAAAUUGGAUUUGAUAGUAAAAUUAUAGAGAUUAAUAAUUUGAUUUUAGCUCUAAAAUAUGUACAUAUCGCCCGUCACUCUUAUUAAUAGAUAAGAUAAGUCGUAACAUAGUAGAUGUACUGGAAAGUGUAUCUAGAAUG